AGUGAACGCUGGCGGUAGGCCUAACACAUGCAAGUCGAACGGCAGCACAGAGGAGCUUGCUCCUUGGGUGGCGAGUGGCGGACGGGUGAGGAAUACAUCGGAAUCUACUCUGUCGUGGGGGAUAACGUAGGGAAACUUACGCUGAUACCGCAUACGACCUACGGGUGAAAGCAGGGGACCUUCGGGCCUUGCGCGAUUGAAUGAGCCGAUGUCGGAUUAGCUAGUUGGCGGGGGAAAGGCCCACCAAGGCGACGAUCCGUAGCUGGUCUGAGAGGAUGAUCAGCCACACUGGAACGGAGACACGGUCCAGACUCCUACGGGAGGCAGCAGUGGGGAAUAUUGAACAAUUGGCGCAAGCCUGAUCCAGCCAUACCGCGUGGGUGAAGAAGGCCUUCGGGUUGUAAAGCCCUUUUGUUGGGAAAGAAGUCCAGCUGGCUAAUACCCGGUUGGGAUGACGGUACCCAAAGAAUAAGCACCGGCUAACUUCGUGCCAGCCGCCGCCGUAA
Molecule: ribosomal RNA, 506 nt
Filed under: uncultured bacterium
Lineage: Bacteria
Description: partial 16S ribosomal RNA
Rfam family: Bacterial small subunit ribosomal RNA
Source: RNAcentral